Molecule: long non-coding RNA, 2182 nt
Organism: Panicum virgatum (switchgrass)
Lineage: Eukaryota; Viridiplantae; Streptophyta; Magnoliopsida; Poales; Poaceae
Exons: 2
Source: RefSeq, a predicted model, not a curated record
AUAAAGAUUAGAAGGUGAAAAAGCUUUCCAAGAGACUCGGCAUCCACCUCUCCUCGCCAUCACGCUCGUCAUCCGAGCGGCCUCGCUAGCCAAAAUUGGCGAGGGCGGUGCCCUCGCCAUCCCUCUCGUCCCGCCCGCUCCCGGCAUCUCUCGCACUAUCCCGGGCUCUCCCGCGCCCUCCCCCUCCUUUUUGGUGCGCUUGCCCCCGUCGUCGUGCCCUGAGCUCCCGCGGCUGGUCGUAGUCGUAGCGUGAGCACUGGCGGUGGUAGUUCUUCUCGGUCGGCCGUUGGCACUUGGGGUAGUGCUUGGUUCUUCUCCACUUGAAGUGCCGGAGCAGGACGGCGGCGAGGCUAAAUGGGAUCGAGAGGAGGUACUGCUCGCCCCGCAGCCGUGCCUCGCCGGCGCCCGCCCCGGCCCCUCGCCGACUGAGGAAGAAAAAAAGCUUCGGAAAAAUAAUUUGCGUCUGGUAUGUGUGUCUGAUCUUCAGCGCUCCGAUCUGAGCAACGCUGCCCAUCUUGUUGUUUGUUUUUGCUCGAUCCAAUGCAGUACGAAAGAGUCCCAGCCUCCCAGGUGAAUGGAACUUUGUGGAAAAGGGCAGGUUGUUAAGAUCUGAUGCAAAAUUGUUGCAGCAAAACCGGGAGAGAGGGGCCGGCUGGAGGAGGAGACUUGCGGGUCUCCUGUCCCGGCCAGCGCGCGCAGCCGUCCGCCGGCCGGGAGAGGAGGUGCGGCUGGCCGUCGGGACUGAGAACGGGGGAGGGGGAGGGGGAGGGGGAGGAGGAGAGUGAGUGGAUAAGGUGGGAGGAAAGAGAUGAUGAGUGGGUCCCACUUGUCAGUGCAAGUGGAAGAGUGAAUUUAUGAUGGAUAGCUAAGAGAUUUGAAGAGUCGGUUGGUUUACCAUUCGAUUAUGGAGCUGUUUAAUUUUUUACAAACCUUCAAAAACUCUAAAUUUAGCUAGGAUUAUACCUAGUCUCCUGGAGUUUAAGACCUCAAAUAUGUAAAUUCCUAACUUGGGUUUAAAACAACCGGGAUAUAUCCCAUCUCAUCUUGUUUUCUACUUUUGUUUUUGCUCAUCCCAUAUUUAACAUGGAUAUCCUGUAUUUAUAGUAUAGGAGUAUAAAUGGAAAAUGAGGAUGCAUCUGCGGGAAAAAAAUCCAAAUAAUUAUUCAUACAAAAAACCAGUUAUAUUGUAUACUACCACCUGGUAGUAUUAUGCACCGUAAAAGGCCUCUAUUGGAAUCCGUGAGCUAAUAGUAGUCAUCAAUCCUUAAAGCAGCUAUAGUAGCGUAGCAAACUUUUAGCCAAUCACCUAGCUAACUAACCAUCAUCUCAUUACCUGAGAAGCUGGAAAUUCUUGAAGGCAUCCAAGUUUUGCACUGCUAAAUUACCAAAAUACUAAUAGUGCCCCUUAUUGUGCAGUAUUUAUCACUGAAUCGACCCCAAGGUAUCCAACUUAUUUUGGCUGGGUUGGUCGCAUAGUUUAAAUCCAGAUUUUGGAGGAUUUCCACAUUUGAAUUCGUGAUGCUGCUGCAUUUAUUUUAUAAUGGAGCAAAGAUAUGGAACCAUACAACAAAGGUAGCUCAACAUUAAUUUAGAUGUGGUCACAGAUAUUCAAGAUGUGUCUUAAUUUGCCUCUAUAUAGACAAGAGCAAGCAAAGCAAUAUGUACGUGCAUACCGACCGGAACCGAAUAGCUAGAGGCACACCAAUAGUGUUCUUCAUAUGGCUGUGGUCAAAAGGAACAUAGUGAGGUCUAUGUGUGCUGCGCUUUGCGUUCUUUUGAUGAUGUCUUCAUCAAACCCUCUCAGCCCUGGUGGAAGAUCACACGUCGUGUGACCCUAUGGGCCCAUGCACUUAUAAAAAAUGCGACACUGAAUGUUCAGAGAAGAGCAAAAAGGUUAACAACCUGCCUUUUCGUCCUAAGUGCGACACACCUAAGGAGUGUUGCUGCGUAUUUAUUUUAUCGGGAGCAACAACCGCCCCCGCUCGUCACUGGUGAUGUUGGAACAAUUGCCAUUGCGGAAAUGGAUCUCUUGAUUGAAUAGUGUUGAAAAGGAUUGAUCCAUGCCGAUGGCUAGAUUCAUUUCGUGGAUGCAGCCAAUACCAUAAUGCUCUUCCAUGUAAUGAAUCCGUAGUAUGUUGCUGCCCAAAUCUAAUAAUAAAAUAAUUGUGCCCCAUUGUCCUUU